RNAcentral lists this transfer RNA (61 nucleotides) under Liolaemus kriegi. RNAcentral's name for it is "tRNA-Trp". Lineage: Eukaryota; Metazoa; Chordata; Lepidosauria; Squamata. The record is from RNAcentral.
GGAGUUUAGGAUAUCAUACUAAACCAUAGACCUUCAAAGUCUAAAAAAAAGGCGCAAACCC